GACGAACGCUGGCGGCGUGCUUAACACAUGCAAGUCGAACGGAAAGGCCCUGCUUUUGUGGGGUGCUCGAGUGGCGAACGGGUGAGUAACACGUGAGUAACCUGCCCUUGACUUUGGGAUAACUUCAGGAAACUGGGGCUAAUACCGGAUAGGAGCUCCUGCUGCAUGGUGGGGGUUGGAAAGUUUCGGCGGUUGGGGAUGGACUCGCGGCUUAUCAGCUUGUUGGUGGGGUAGUGGCUUACCAAGGCUUUGACGGGUAGCCGGCCUGAGAGGGUGACCGGCGACAUUGGGACUGAGAUACGGCCCAGAAGCCUACGGGAGGCAGCAGUGGGGAAUAUUGCACAAUGGGCGGAAGCCUGAUGCAGCAACGCCGCGUGCGGGAUGACGGCCUUCGGGUUGUAAACCGCUUUCGCAUGUGACGAAGCGUGAGUGACGGUAAUGGGUAAAGAAGCACCGGCUAACUACGUG
This 468-nucleotide ribosomal RNA is filed under the name uncultured bacterium. RNAcentral describes it as "partial 16S ribosomal RNA". It matches the Rfam family "Bacterial small subunit ribosomal RNA", at positions 28 to 507 of the family's 1533-position model. The record is from RNAcentral.